RNAcentral lists this ribosomal RNA (253 nucleotides) under uncultured bacterium. Its description in RNAcentral is "partial 16S ribosomal RNA". It matches the Rfam family "Bacterial small subunit ribosomal RNA", at positions 524 to 776 of the family's 1533-position model. The record is from RNAcentral.
UACGAAGGGGGCUAGCGUUGUUCGGAAUCACUGGGCGUAAAGAGCACGUAGGCGGAUCUUUAAGUCAGGGGUGGAAUCCCGAGGCUCAACCUCGGAACUGCCUUUGAUACUGGAGGUCUCGAGUCCGGGAGAGGUGAGUGGAACUGCGAGUGUAGAGGUGAAAUUCGUAGAUAUUCGCAAGAACACCAGUGGCGAAGGCGGCUCACUGGCCCGGUACUGACGCUGAGGUGCGAAAGCGUGGGGAGCAAACAGG